RNAcentral lists this ribosomal RNA (1368 nucleotides) under uncultured bacterium. Its description in RNAcentral is "bacterial SSU rRNA". It matches the Rfam family "Bacterial small subunit ribosomal RNA", at positions 28 to 1381 of the family's 1533-position model. The record is from RNAcentral.
GACGAACGCUGGCGGCGUGCUUAACACAUGCAAGUCGAACGGAAAGGCCCGCAUCAUUUUUGUGGUGGGGGUGCUCGAGUGGCGAACGGGUGAGUAACACGUGGGUGAUCUGCCCUGUACUUCGGGAUAAGCUUGGGGAACUGGGUCUAAUACCGGAUAGGACCAUGGUUUAGUGUCUCAUGGUGGAAAGAUUAUUGUUUUGGUGCAGGAUGAGCUCGCGGCCUAUCAGCUUGUUGGUGGGGUAAUGGCCUACCAAGGCGUCGACGGGUAGCCGGCCUGAGAGGGUGGACGGCCACAUUGGGACUGAGAUACGGCCCAGACUCCUACGGGAGGCAGCAGUGGGGAAUAUUGCACAAUGGGCGCAAGCCUGAUGCAGCGACGCCGCGUGGGGGAUGACGGCCUUCGGGUUGUAAACUCCUUUCGUUAGGGACGAAGCCACAUUUUUUGGGUGUGGUGACGGUACCUUUGUUAAGAAGCACCGGCUAACUACGUGCCAGCAGCCGCGGUAAUACGUAGGGUGCGAGCGUUGUCCGGAAUUACUGGGCGUAAAGAGCUCGUAAGUGGUUUGUUGCGUCGUCUGUGAAGUUCCGGGGCUUAACUUCGGGGUGGCAGGCGAUACGGGCAUAACUAGAGUGCUGUAGGGGAGACUGGAAUUCCUGGUGUAGCGGUGGAAUGCGCAGAUAUCAGGAGGAACACCGAUGGCGAAGGCAGGUCUCUGGGCAGUAACUGACGCUGAGGAGCGAAAGCAUGGGGAGCGAACAGGAUUAGAUACCCUGGUAGUCCAUGCUGUAAACGGUGGGCGUUAGGUGUGGGGACCGGUUUGGUUUCUGUGCCGUAGCUAACGCAUUAAGCGCCCCGCCUGGGGAGUACGGCCGCAAGGCUAAAACUCAAAGGAAUUGACGGGGGCCCGCACAAGCGGCGGAGCAUGUGGAUUAAUUCGAUGCAACGCGAAGAACCUUACCUGGGUUUGACAUGCACCAGACGGUUGUAGAGAUACGUACCUCCCUUUGUGGUUGGUGUGCAGGUGGUGCAUGGUUGUCGUCAGCUCGUGUCGUGAGAUGUUGGGUUAAGUCCCGCAACGAGCGCAACCCUUGUCUUAUGUUGCCAGCACUUUGGGUGGGGACUCAUGAGAGACUGCCGGGGUUAACUCGGAGGAAGGUGGGGAUGACGUCAAAUCAUCAUGCCCUUUAUGCCCAGGGCUUCACACAUGCUACAAUGGUUAGUACAACGCGCUGCGAACCUGUGAGGGUGAGCGAAUCGCUGAAAGCUAAUCUCAGUUCGGAUUGGGGUCUGCAACUCGACCCCAUGAAGUCGGAGUCGCUAGUAAUCGCAGAUCAGCAAUGCUGCGGUGAAUACGUUCCCGGGCCU